CACGAAACGUUUGUUCGCCACCACAGGCCACAGCAACCUAAGUUAGGUACAUUAUAUUUAUUGUAUAUUUGUGAUUUUUGAUAAAAACAAUAAAUAUUUGCGUAUAUUUAUCAUCAAUUAUAAAAAUACAAAAAAUAUAAUACAUUUAGUUAGGUUGCUGUGGUGGCGAACAAACGUUUCGUG
This 183-nucleotide microRNA precursor is filed under the name Paramuricea clavata. Lineage: Eukaryota; Metazoa; Cnidaria; Anthozoa; Malacalcyonacea; Plexauridae. The record is from RNAcentral.